CAGAGUUCAUGCCCUCCGGGGUAGAUCUCCCACCCUUGUGUAUCAUUAUAAAAUGUUGCUUUGGCGGGCCGCAAGCCUGGCUUGCCCGGAUUCGCGUCCGGCGUGCCCGCCAGAGGAUCCUAAACUCUGAUUGUUAGUGUCGUCUGAGUACUAUUAAAUAGUUA
This 164-nucleotide unclassified non-coding RNA is filed under the name uncultured Lachnum. Its description in RNAcentral is "sequence contains ITS1". Lineage: Eukaryota; Fungi; Ascomycota; Leotiomycetes; Helotiales; Hyaloscyphaceae. The record is from RNAcentral.